This 705-nucleotide ribosomal RNA is filed under the name uncultured Actinomycetes bacterium. RNAcentral's name for it is "bacterial SSU rRNA". It matches the Rfam family "Bacterial small subunit ribosomal RNA", at positions 49 to 770 of the family's 1533-position model. Lineage: Bacteria; Bacillati; Actinomycetota; Actinomycetes. The record is from RNAcentral.
UAACACAUGCAAGUCGAGCGGAAAGGCCCUUCGGGGUACUCGAGCGGCGAACGGGUGAGUAACACGUGAGUAAUCUGCCCUGCGCUCUGGGAUAGCCACCGGAAACGGUGAUUAAUACCGGAUAGGACCACUUCACGCAUGUGAUGGUGGUGGAAAGUUUUUUCGGCGCAGGAUGUGCUCGCGGCCUAUCAGCUUGUUGGUGAGGUAACGGCUCACCAAGGCUUUGACGGGUAACCGGCCUGAGAGGGUGACCGGUCACACUGGGACUGAGACACGGCCCAGACUCCUACGGGAGGCAGCAGUGGGGAAUAUUGGACAAUGGGCGGAAGCCUGAUCCAGCAACGCCGCGUGAGGGAUGACGGCCUUCGGGUUGUAAACCUCUUUCAGUACCGACGAAGCGCAAGUGACGGUAGGUACAGAAGAAGGACCGGCCAACUACGUGCCAGCAGCCGCGGUAAUACGUAGGGUCCGAGCGUUGUCCGGAAUUAUUGGGCGUAAAGGGCUCGUAGGCGGUUUGUCGCGUCGGGAGUGAAAACACCGGGCUUAACUCGGUGCUUGCUUUCGAUACGGGCAGACUAGAGGUAUGCAGGGGAGAAUGGAAUUCCUGGUGUAGCGGUGAAAUGCGCAGAUAUCAGGAGGAACACCGGUGGCGAAGGCGGUUCUCUGGGCAUUACCUGACGCUGAGGAGCGAAAGUGUGGGGAGCG